This 497-nucleotide ribosomal RNA is filed under the name uncultured bacterium. RNAcentral's name for it is "partial 16S ribosomal RNA". It matches the Rfam family "Bacterial small subunit ribosomal RNA", at positions 28 to 507 of the family's 1533-position model. The record is from RNAcentral.
GAUGAACGCUGGCGGCGUGCCUAAUACAUGCAAGUCGAGCGAACAGACGAGGAGCUCGCUCCUCUGACGUUAGCGGCGGACGGGUGAGUAACACGUGGAUAACCUACCUAUAAGACUGGGAUAACUUCGGGAAACCGGAGCUAAUACCGGAUAAUAUAUUGAACCGCAUGGUUCAAUAGUGAAAGACGGUUUUGCUGUCACUUAUAGAUGGAUCCGCGCCGCAUUAGCUAGUUGGUAAGGUAACGGCUUACCAAGGCAACGAUGCGUAGCCGACCUGAGAGGGUGAUCGGCCACACUGGAACUGAGACACGGUCCAGACGCCUACGGGAGGCAGCAGUAGGGAAUCUUCCGCAAUGGGCGAAAGCCUGACGGAGCAACGCCGCGUGAGUGAUGAAGGUCUUCGGAUCGUAAAACUCUGUUAUUAGGGAAGAACAAAUGUGUAAGUAACUAUGCACGUCUUGACGGUACCUAAUCAGAAAGCCACGGCUAACUACGUG